GACGAACCGUGCGAACGUUGUUCGGAAUCACUGGGCUUAAAGGGCGCGUAGGCGGCCUGCCAAGUCAGGGGUGAAAGCCCCCAGCUCAACUGGGGAAGUGCCUUUGAUACUGGCGGGCUCGAGCGAGGUAGGGGUCGUGGGAACUUCCGGUGGAGCGGUGAAAUGCGUUGAUAUCGGAAGGAACGCCGGUGGCGAAAGCGCACGACUGGACCUCUCCUGACGCUGAGGCGCGAAAGCCAGGGGAGCAAACGGG
RNAcentral lists this ribosomal RNA (253 nucleotides) under uncultured bacterium. RNAcentral's name for it is "partial 16S ribosomal RNA". It matches the Rfam family "Bacterial small subunit ribosomal RNA", at positions 524 to 776 of the family's 1533-position model. The record is from RNAcentral.